GACGGUGUGUCAAAGUUCUAGUAC
Molecule: non-coding RNA, 24 nt
Filed under: Arabidopsis thaliana (thale cress)
Lineage: Eukaryota; Viridiplantae; Streptophyta; Magnoliopsida; Brassicales; Brassicaceae
Source: RNAcentral